ACGAACGCUGGCGGCGUGCUUAACACAUGCAAGUCGAGCGAGAAAGGGGGGGGCAACUCCCCUGAGUAAAGCGGCGCACGGGUGAGUAACGCGUGGGUAACCUACCCUCAGGCGGGGGAUAACUACUCGAAAGGGUGGCUAAUACCGCAUGAGACCACGGGGUCCUUGGACCCUGAGGCCAAAGGCUGCAUCGGCUUGCCGGUGUAGUCACCGGGGGAUGGGCCCGCGUCCGAUUAGCUAGUUGGUGAGGUAACGGCCCACCAAGGCUACGAUCGGUAGCUGGUCUGAGAGGAUGAUCAGCCACACUGGAACUGGAACACGGUCCAGACUCCUACGGGAGGCAGCAGUGAGGAAUAUUGCGCAAUGGGGGAAACCCUGACGCAGCAACGCCGCGUGGGUGAAGAAGGCCUUCGGGUCGUAAAGCCCUUUCGGACGGGACGAAAUUUCCGCGGGGUCAAGCCGCGGAAACUGACGGUACCGUAGGAAGAAGCACCGGCUAACUCCGUGCCAGCAGCCGCGGUAAUACGGAGGGUGCAAGCGUUGUUCGGAAUUACUGGGCGUAAAGCGCGUGUAGGUGGACUGAUCAGUCGGAUGUGAAAUAUCCAGGCUUAACCUGGGGGCUGCAUUCGAUACGGUCAGUCUUGAGUGCAGGAGAGGGCAGUGGAAUUCCCAGUGUAGCGGUGAAAUGCGUAGAUAUUGGGAGGAACACCAGUGGCGAAGGCGGCUGCCUGGACUGUAACUGACACUGAGGCGCGAAAGCGUGGGGAGCAAACAGGAUUAGAUACCCUGGUAGUCCACGCCGUAAACGAUGGGUACUAGGUGUAGGAGGUAUCGACCCCUUCUGUGCCGGAGUUAACACAAUAAGUACCCCACCUGGGGAGUACGGCCGCAAGGUUGAAACUCAAAGGAAUUGACGGGGGCCCGCACAAGCGGUGGAGCAUGUGGUUUAAUUCGACGCAACGCGAAGAACCUUACCAGGUCUUGACAUCUUUCUGAAUGGGGUAGAGAUAUUCCAGGCCUUCGGGACAGAAGGACAGGUGGUGCAUGGUUGUCGUCAGCUCGUGUCGUGAGAUGUUGGGUUAAGUCCCGCAACGAGCGCAACCCUUGUUGCUAGUUGUCAGCACGUAAUGGUGGACCCUCUAGCGAUACUGCCGGUGACAAACCGGAGGAAGGUGGGGAUGACGUCAAAUCAUCAUGCCCUUUAUGACCUGGGCUACACACGUGCUACAAUGGCCUAUACAAAGGGAAGCAAGACCGCGAGGUGGAGCAAAUCCCAUAAAGUAGGUCUCAGUUCGGAUCGCAGGCUGCAACUCGCCUGCGUGAAGUCGGAAUCGCUAGUAAUCGCGGAUCAGAAUGCCGCGGUGAAUACGUUCCCGGGCCUUGUACACACCGCCCGUCACACCACGAAAGUCUGCAACACCCGAAGCCGGUGGAGUAACCGCAAGGAGCAAGCCGUCGAAGGUGGGGCCGAUGAUUGGGGUGAAGUCGUAACAAGGUAGCC
This 1501-nucleotide ribosomal RNA is filed under the name uncultured bacterium. RNAcentral describes it as "partial 16S rRNA". It matches the Rfam family "Bacterial small subunit ribosomal RNA". The record is from RNAcentral.